This 759-nucleotide ribosomal RNA is filed under the name bacterium Lag7. Its description in RNAcentral is "bacterial SSU rRNA". It matches the Rfam family "Bacterial small subunit ribosomal RNA", at positions 63 to 794 of the family's 1533-position model. The record is from RNAcentral.
CGAGGCGGAGCCGCGGGUGGUCUGGCACCUUCGCUUACGCCGGCCGGAACGGGUGAGUACAAGGCUUACGGAAAUCCGCCUCUUCGUCGGGGGAACAAACAUUUCCGAAAGGAAACGCUAAUACCGCAUACGCCCUCACGGGGGAAAGCAGGGGAACUUCGGAACCUUCGCGCUAAUAGAUGAGCCUAAGUCGGAUUAGCUAGUUCGGUGGGGUAAAGGCCUACCAAGGCGAACGAUCUGUAGCGGGUCUGAGAGGAUGAUCCGCCACACUGGGACUGAGACACGGCCCAGACUCCUACGGGAGGCAGCAGUGGGGAAUAUUGGACAAUGGGCGGAAGCCUGAUCCAGCCAUGCCGCGUGUGUGAAGAAGGCCUUUUGGUUGUAAAGCACUUUAAGCGAGGAGGAGGCUACUAGUACUAAUACUACUGGAUAGUGGACGUUACUCGCAGAAUAAGCACCGGCUAACUCUGUGCCAGCAGCCGCGGUAAUACAGAGGGUGCGAGCGUUAAUCGGAUUUACUGGGCGUAAAGCGUGCGUAGGCGGCUGAUUAAGUCGGAUGUGAAAUCCCUGAGCUUAACUUAGGAAUUGCAUUCGAUACUGGUCAGCUAGAGUAUGGGAGAGGAUGGUAGAAUUCCAGGUGUAGCGGUGAAAUGCGUAGAGAUCUGGAGGAAUACCGAUGGCGAAGGCAGCCAUCUGGCCUAAUACUGACGCUGAGGUACGAAAGCAUGGGGAGCAAACAGGAUUAGAUACCCUGGUAGU